CUCUCUCUCUCUCUCUCUCUCUCUCUCGAUCUCUAUGAUGGCUGAUGACCUAGUCUUAAGCUCUGUGCAAUUAUAAGGUAUUACUCAUUUAAAUUAUGUAUGUCUACUAGUGCCUAUAUUAUUGGCAACUAGCUCAAUGACAGCCACAGAUAAACAUAUUGAUGUCAGAUAAUCUUACUAAUUUCUAUGUCGGUGUUCACAUGUAAUUGGAAUCCUCUUUUUUGUAGGUAAGGCUGUAUGAUAUUGGAUUUGAUAGUCUGGUUUAUGAGGUCGAGAAAGUUUGUGAUGGCUCUGGAGAAGAUCCAAUGUGCAGCAGACCAGCCUGUUCAAGAGAAUGCCAGUCUUUGAUUACCAGAAACACCUACGGACGACUAAUCAAAGUGUGUUUCUGCAUCUUGGUAACUGGUAACAGCAUCACGGACCAUUUAGUCUACUAUGGUGUGGAAUUAAUGGCGGAGACAUGGGGAUCGUGCAAAAUCGUCAUGGACCCACAAUUGAAGGAAUAUGGAAGUGAAGACAAAGGAAACCUUAUGCUUUUGAGGAAUCCUUCUGCUUCUGCAUCGAGGCUGCGUUAAGACUCUGAUGCCAAGAGUAACUUAACAUAAAAUGCUCCUAAGUCAGCACCUAAUUUCUUGAGGAUCAUUAGGCAGCUCCGCAUGAAGUUUGUUCAUGUAAUGCAUUCCAUCAAUCUGUUUCCAUGUCCCUCACAAGAUGAAUAGGAUCUCUACUGAAAUUCACUUGGAAUGUUAAUAGCAUGAAAUUGAAUGUAUAUCCUCAUAAACACAACUCUGUGAUACCUAUUGAAUGAAUGCGCUCACAAGUUUACCUGCCAAUUUA
This is a long non-coding RNA of Eucalyptus grandis, 837 nucleotides long. RefSeq lists it as uncharacterized. NCBI's taxonomy places the organism in Eukaryota, Viridiplantae, Streptophyta, Magnoliopsida, Myrtales, Myrtaceae. The record is from RefSeq and is a predicted model, not a curated record. The transcript has 2 exons.